GCAAUUAGAACACGUUCCCUUAUUGCUGUGAUUUUUGCCUUUUGUUUUUAUUGUCACCUCUUUUGGUUUAUUGUUUUAAUCUGGUUUUGUGCAAUUGAACAAUUAUUAAUUAUUUUUUGUACUUUUCAACAGUUCAUCUAUUCAUGGUCAAGUUGGUCAUUGUCUAGUUUUAUUUUUAUCCAAGCCAAUUUCAUCUCUUUUCCCAUGUGUUUUACGCUUUUCACUGUUAGUUGGCUUACUCGGUCUUACCGAUCUUUACAGGUCUAUGGUACACAAGUGUCCCUCUGAUUCGGAUUAAAUUGUAUUGGGUCAACUGGAAUCUCUUGAGUCUUCCAACUGUUCGGAUCCUUGCUCGCUAGGGAUUUUGGUAUACCUUACAAAUGUAACACAAUAUUGAUGCUGGCUAAAAGUGAUUCACAUCUUUUCAACAACAUAAUUGUUACGCCAAUGUCAAUCAACACUUGAAAGUUAAACUGGUUUCAAAUUAAAGUCGCUUCUCACUCGAUUCAACAAUAUAAAAUGCAGAACCAAACGAGUUGACACCAAACUCAUGCUCUUCAUCGCCAUUGUUAACAUUUUCAUUUUCAUUUCCAUUUCUUUUUUGGUUACCUGUUCUGUUAUUUAAAUGUUAUAAAUUCCUAUUUCAGUUUCUCCAAUUCUCAAGGUCAAUUUCUUAGUAACAUUUUUCUUAUCUCUUUUUGUUUUCCAUUGAAUCCAAUCCUCAGGGGGUAACCAAAUCAAAUUGAGUGAUAGCGGAAAUGAGAUUUAAGAUUGCAAUUGAAAUUGCUUUACCAAUCAAUGUUUCCGUUUACAAUUUCAAUUCAACUUUUCUACCUUUUCUUUUUUAAUUCCUAACAAUUUUCCCUAAAACAUAAUCAUUAUUGUUUCCACCAUUCAAAUGGUUCCAGCCGUUGCCUUAACCAUUACCAGAUUCACCUUUUUAAUUGCAAAUUGUCAACCUGUUUUCAUCUUUCAACUCAUAAACCCAACUAUACUUUACAACAAAAAAUAUUGAUGCAAAUUUGAGCUGUAAACUCAAAAUUGCAAUUUCAAUUUGAUGAAAAUGAGUAAAAACUUGAAAUCUUAAUGAAUCAGAAA
This is a long non-coding RNA of Tetranychus urticae (two-spotted spider mite), 1098 nucleotides long. RefSeq lists it as uncharacterized. NCBI's taxonomy places the organism in Eukaryota, Metazoa, Arthropoda, Arachnida, Trombidiformes, Tetranychidae. The record is from RefSeq and is a predicted model, not a curated record.